RNAcentral lists this ribosomal RNA (497 nucleotides) under uncultured bacterium. RNAcentral's name for it is "partial 16S ribosomal RNA". It matches the Rfam family "Bacterial small subunit ribosomal RNA", at positions 28 to 507 of the family's 1533-position model. The record is from RNAcentral.
GAUGAACGCUGGCGGCGUGCCUAAUACAUGCAAGUCGAGCGGACGGACGAGAAGCUUGCUUCUCUGAUGUUAGCGGCGGACGGGUGAGUAACACGUGGAUAACCUACCUAUAAGACUGGGAUAACUUCGGGAAACCGGAGCUAAUACCGGAUAAUAUUUUGAACCGCAUGGUUCAAAAGUGAAAGACGGUCUUGCUGUCACUUAUAGAUGGAUCCGCGCUGCAUUAGCUAGUUGGUAAGGUAACGGCUUACCAAGGCAACGAUGCAUAGCCGACCUGAGAGGGUGAUCGGCCACACUGGAACUGAGACACGGUCCAGACCCCUACGGGAGGCAGCAGUAGGGAAUCUUCCGCAAUGGGCGAAAGCCUGACGGAGCAACGCCGCGUGAGUGAUGAAGGUCUUCGGAUCGUAAAACUCUGUUAUUAGGGAAGAACAUAUGUGUAAGUAACUGUGCACAUCUUGACGGUACCUAAUCAGAAAGCCACGGCUAACUACGUG